Molecule: long non-coding RNA, 874 nt
Organism: Salvelinus sp. IW2-2015
Lineage: Eukaryota; Metazoa; Chordata; Actinopteri; Salmoniformes; Salmonidae
Source: RefSeq, a predicted model, not a curated record
CCAGUUGAAACUAAAUGCAACUAUUGAAACUAGUUAAAUACUGGUUGCUUGUAAAUCCAUCACUGCGUCCUGUAUCUACUUAAACAUAAUUUAAUCAUCACACUCAUUUUUAAAUGAUAGGUGUGUAAAUGUAGAUCAACAACCAAGUUCUAGAACUUUAAAGGGCUUGAGUUUCCUCCGCGUGCACUUCCUCUCUCAGAGUUUUAUGUUGAGGGUACCACGCAGUCAUUGGUACCACGCCGCUCGAUAAAACGUUUUGCUCUUUUGAGACCCCUCCUGUAGAGAUGCUUACUGGCUCAAAUCUAGUGGCAGCAGCCUCAGUAACACGUCCCCUUGGAGACUAGCAGGAGCAACACGUGAUGCGUCUUACUUAUCAGGUUUAGGGGAGAGGAUAGAGCAGCGCUUUGGGGACGGCCAGAGAGGAAAGCGAAAUAAGUGUUUUCCUCUCGUCUCUCAACUCUUUCUUCCUCUUUAGGAAUUUGGAAGAAAGAGAGGGGAACAAAGUUGUCUAACUUUGCACAUCCUCAGUAACGCCAUUUUGAUUCCUCUCCGGAACAACUUUGCAGCUUCUUUUUUUUUCUUAGCCCCUCAUCACCAUCAUCAGUAUGUCUCGGCGCAAGCAGCCCAACCCCAACAAAGUCGAACUGUGAUCAGUGGGUGCUGACACUCGAGGUGGGCAGGCAGGCCGUCGUCUCCCCCCCAGCCCUGAGCUCCGAGCCCAGACACCUUUUUUCCCUGGUCUCUCGACGGUGAUGGAGAGCACCACAGAGGGACACGCGUCCGGGGGAGGAGUGAGCGGCGAGCUGAGCACUGGGAGACCGACCACUCUGAGGAACAGGAGACCCCUGACUGCACACACACACAGGACAAACAC